Molecule: non-coding RNA, 3906 nt
Organism: Peromyscus maniculatus bairdii (prairie deer mouse)
Lineage: Eukaryota; Metazoa; Chordata; Mammalia; Rodentia; Cricetidae
Source: RefSeq, a predicted model, not a curated record
CCCGGACGUGCUGGCGAUUUCGUCUGGGGGUGGGAACUACCUACGCUGUUCCCGGUUCCGCGCCACCGCAAUCCUGAGGCUUAAAUCCUCCUCCCAAGCAGAUACCUCCUGCAACCCUAGAACCAGGUGAAGGAGUUGGUGCUUUCUAAAAUCAAAGAUAAUGGGGGGGGAGUGAGGGGGGGCGCGAUAGAUGCCUGCGUGUCCCUGGAAUCCCUGAGUCGCCGGGGGCUGGGAAAAUGCCCUUCCAGGGAUUCCCCUCCCUCAGGCAGCCGGGCGUCCGCCUCCACCUGCACCCUAGGGCAGGUUCCUCUGUCCCUUUCUCUUUGCCUAGUUCCAUGCCAACUAAGCACUUGGUUUUUCCAGUUUGCCUUUAACUAUCAUCCUAACGAGCACCUAACCUUAGCUGCACGUUUAAUGUGUGCCUGGCAUGGUGUUGAGCGAUUUGGUAAGCAUUAUUUCACCCAGUCUCCAACAGUCCUAUGAGGAAGAGGCUCCAAUUAAUUACCGUUUUACAAAAGAAACACCAAAGAGGCUAACUGCAUCCGGGCUUGCCACCAAUGUAUGGGGGCGGGGAGGAGGGGGAUUGCCUAAUCCUGUAAUAGGGAAAUGAUUAAGGGUCAUUCACUAUUCGUGAAGAUAAGGCUGUCCAAUGACACAUACUACGUAGUCACUAGUGGGGGAGGGGCUGUGCUUCGACUUUGACGAAUACCAAAAUUCUCCGGAUACUCAGGUCUUUUAAUGCAAAGACUCCCAGGGAAAGAGAAACAGGCAGUUACCUGACACGUGCUGGCCAGCCAGCCUACUGUAAUUGGGGAGCUACAGGCCAAUCAGAUCCUGUGUCAAAAACGACAGCUCAAAUUGUAUUCUGGCCUCGUGUGGACAGCACACACACACACACACACACACACACACACACUCAUGCAGACAUGCACACAUGGCAGAGUAUUUACAUAGAACUGACACCUAUUCCUCCACAUACUUUAAACCAUUUCUGAUGAUUCAUAAUGUCUAAUGCAUGCAAAUAUUGCAUAAAUAGCUGUUAUACUGUUUUGUUCAGGGAAUAAGGACAAGGAAAAAGAAUUCAGUGCAGAUACUCAGCGCAGAUAAAAUUUUCCCCUGAACAUUAUCAGUCCUAGGAUUCAGAACUGCAAAUAGGGAGCGCCAACUGUGUAUAUUUGUGAGGUACGCUGGUAUCCACAUCCUCUGCCCAAAGCCAUACCAGGGACUGUGAAAAGUUCUGGGGCACUCUGCUACCCUGGAAGUGUCUCAGGAUUUGUGGGCAGAAGUUGAACAGAGAUGAGUGCUCCUGGGGGCCAGCUGUGUCCAAAACAUGGACAGGAGCCAGGGUGUGAGACCUAUGGAAUGCUCACAGUAGUCAGAGGAACACUCCAAAGGUGGCUGGGGCAGGGUCUCAGAGACAACGGGAUUCCCCAGGGGAAUGGGAAGUACUCAUGUAGGCUCUCCCCCAAGUCCUUGUACAAAUGGAGAAACUGAGGCCUGAAAAGAAAAGGCUCAGGCAGCCUUCACAAUGGCCCGUCUCGCCCCCUGGACCUCCCCUGGAUGUUGCCUGGCUACAUCUGGUUCUCCAUUCUGGACUCCUUCCUGGCCCAGGAGCUGGUCACUGGCAACAGUCUCACAGAUAGCAAAAUAACCAGCCCUCACAAGCACUGAACACUGGGAAUGGAAACCAUUAUGUUGAAAUUAUCCACAUAGGACCAGCGUUGGAUCCGUGGGAUGCAUGGAAGAGCCAGGCACUGCAGGCACACCGAUGAUUCCCGGGCCUGAGAAACUCAAACAAGGGCAUCUGGCCAGCCAGCCUGACUAAAGGAGGCUGUGAGCGCCAGGCCAGUGAGAGACACUGUUUUUAAAAAAUAAUAUGGAAAGCAAUUGAGCAAGGUAUUCAAGGUUGACCUUUGAUCUCCAUGUGCACACACAUACACACACACACCACACUUACAUGCACACACACACACACCACACUUACAUGCACACACACACACACCACACUUACAUGCACACACACACACACCACACUUACAUGCACACACAUACACACACACCACAUUUACAUGCACACACAUAUACACACACACCACACUUAUAUGCAUAUACAUAUAUGCACACAAACAUGCAAAUUCAUUAUAAACUUAUGCCCCAUUUAUGAGCCCCUCAAACAAAAUCUAAAUAGCCUGGGUUCCUAAAUCAGCAUUCUCCUGAAAUAUAUUUUUGCUUUGUGGUCUCUUUCCUAAUUUACAAUUGUCUACUAUUCUCUCAAAGUAAUUAUUUUCUUCCUCCUCCUCCCCCUCUCCCUCACUCCCUCUCUCCUAAGUCUCAUAUAUCCCUUGACCUAAAACUCACUAUGUAGCUGAGGAUGACCUUGAACUUCUGAUCCUCCUGUCUCCACCUCCUGAAUGCUGGGACUACAAGCAUGCACCAUGGUGCCCCAUCUAUGGGGUGCUGUGCACAGAAUCCAGAGCUUCAUUCGUACUCGUCAGCCCCUGGGAAUGGAAGAUUCUGCUUCGUUGGGCUUCUGGUGUUUCCAAAUAUGACAGAAAAGUAUGAAACAACAGAAAAUGUUCCUCAGUGGGAAAGGGUCAGCCAUGCCGACACAGCGAUGCCUACAGAAGCCAGAAGAGGGUUCAGGUCCCAUGAAGCUGGAGUUACAGGCAGUUUUGAUCCACCCAACGUAGGAACUCGGAGCCAAACACAGGUCCCCUGCCAGAGCAGAAGAUGCUUAACUGCUUAGCCAUCUUUAGGCAUGCAAAAAAAAAAAAAAAAAAAAAAAAAAACUGAGCAGAAGAUGCAGCCAUGCCCCAGGUACGUGCCACUCACACUAGGGAACAGUACCCUAGUUUCACUGUUGACAAAAAUAAAAAAGCAAAGUAGGGAAGAUAGGAUUUAUUUUAUCUCACACUUCCAAAUUUCAGUCCAUCAUAGUAAGAACAUCACAGCCGCAAAUGCUUACAGGAGCUAGUCACAUCGAGCACAGAAUGAUGCCUUCUCGGUGCUCAGCUGGCUUUGUAUACUCUUCCAAUCCAGGGCCCAACAGCAGGAGAUGGUGCCGCCCACUUUCACACUGAGUCUUUCCCCAUCAAUGCAGGCCAUCAUGACAGUCCCCCACAGAUGUGCCUACAGGUCCACUUGACCUAGACAGUCUCUCGCUGAGAUUCUCUUCCCGGGGAUUCUAGGUUGUACCAGGUUGGCAAAACUAACCGUGACAUGUAGCCUUCCCCACCAUCAACAUCUGCAUCAGAGCGGCCCGUUUAUUAUAGUUGAUAAACCUGAUAAUCUCACGAUCCGCUGAAUUCCAUAGUUUCUUUCCAUUAGGGUUCACUCUUGGUGGUGGACAUUUUAUGGGUUUGGACAAGUGUACGGUGACAUGGUUACCAUUAUAGCAUCAUACAUACCUUGUGUGGGGCAGUUUCACUGUCUCCUGGGUACCAGCUAUCUCCCCUCCCAUCCCCAACCCCUGUCAAUACAGGAUCUGCUCCCCCUUCCCACUGGUGUGCCUCUUCCAGAAUGUCACAUCGUUGGAGCUACGCAGUGUUUUGCCUGCAUGUGUGUUGUGUACCACAUGCAUGCCUGGUGCCCACGGAGACCAGAAGAAGUUAUCAGAUGCCCUGAGACUGGAGUUAUAGAUGGUUGUGAGCCAGCAUGUGGGUUAUAGGAAUCAAACCCAGGUGCUCUGGAAGAACAGCCAGUGCCCUUUACCAUCCUUCAGCAUUUAAAUUCCUUUGAACGUCAGACUCAAAUCAUAACCAGCAUAUAACCUUUUCAGACUACCUUCUUUCACUUAGUAAUAUGCUUUUAAGAACAUUUGGUUGUAAGCCGGGCAGUGGUGGCGCAUGCCUUUAAUCCCAGCACUCGGGAGGCAGAUGCAGGCGGAUCUCUGUGAGUUCGAGGCCA